GAGAGAGAGAGAGAGAGAGAGAGAUUUGAAGGAAGAAAUUAGUGUUGAGUUGGUUUCAUAUAUACUGCAACUAGAGGAAGCAUCCAAAGGGAUCGCAUUGAUCCCAACUAGCUAUCUCUUCCAUGGUUUAAUUUGGAUCAUGCUAUCCCUUUGGAUAUCUCCUUUGGCAGCUUCAAACUUUUAGAGAUAUAUAUCAUGAGCAUCAACAACUAUAGAUAAUCAAGGAGUUCAUCCAAUUAACUCCCUGAUUCCUUCCCUUUGAGGGUGAUCAAUAUUCAAAUCAAAUGGGCUCAUGGGGUCCAAGCAGAGGAAGAAUUGUUGGGGCACCACCAGAGUGCAUGCACAAAUUAUCUUCAAUUGUAAGAUAUGUACUCCAAUUGUCUCCCUCUAUCACUACACAAAGCUUUGUCAAGGACACAAACUGCCAAAAGAAAACCAGAGUGCAUGAAUUUUUCUUUGCAAGCGAUCAGAAAGGAAUUGGAUGCUCCUUGCUCUGCAGACUGCAGAGGGGCCCAAAACGCUUGACUUGCCUCCAGAUUCAAAUCCGUACACUCCAAUUUCUUCCAUCUCUUUUCUCUUUUUAAUAUUGCGCUUUGUGAAACACAAUUUUCAGCCAUGUAUUGGGGAUCUGCAGGAUUUUAUUUGAUUUUUUUUUUUUUCCUCAUUAUUUGGGGAAUUUGAUUGAGAUGUGUAUAAAGUUGACCAUUGCCUUAAGUUGUUAUCAAACUUCCAUCUUUUUCAGGGAAGACAAUGGAAAGUUUAUUUAUAUUAUGUUGUAUUCUCCCUUUCAUAAAAUAAAAAAGUUAUAUUCUUCCGAAA
Molecule: long non-coding RNA, 819 nt
Organism: Prunus dulcis (almond)
Lineage: Eukaryota; Viridiplantae; Streptophyta; Magnoliopsida; Rosales; Rosaceae
Exons: 2
Source: RefSeq, a predicted model, not a curated record